AAAAAUAGUUUCAAAAAAUAUUUUCGAAUUACAAAAAGAAAAUUUGAAGAAAAAAAUUCGAAAAAAAUUAAAAAAAAAAUUUAUAAAAAAAUUCGAAUUUGAAAACAUAUAAUCUAAAACUAUAAAAAAAUAUUAUUUUUUUUAAUUUUUUAUAUAUCUAGGGUAUUAGUGUCUUUUUACAUAUUAAAUGAAACAUUUUGGUCAUUUUCCUCCUUGUGGUCUAUUUUUGUGACCAAAACUUGAAAAUGGUCUAUUUAUAAGAAUUGCCCUA
This 271-nucleotide long non-coding RNA is filed under the name Brassica rapa (field mustard). RNAcentral's name for it is "long non-coding RNA (BRAP_LNC001782)". The record is from RNAcentral. Lineage: Eukaryota; Viridiplantae; Streptophyta; Magnoliopsida; Brassicales; Brassicaceae.